CGUUCUUUGGAUCCUGCAACGAAAGGUAGUCGUAAAAAAGGUGGAAGAUUCUGUAAAUUCCACAAGGACCACGGCCACCUAACGGACCACUGCAGGGAGUUCUCGAUUUAUGUCGAGCAACUGGUCUCGAAGGGUGAACUUGACAACUUUGUCAAGGGAUCCCGAGGACGGGACGGUUGCAAGUCCGACCCGAAGGGGAAG
This 201-nucleotide long non-coding RNA is filed under the name Zostera marina. RNAcentral's name for it is "long non-coding RNA (ZMAR_LNC002871)". The record is from RNAcentral. Lineage: Eukaryota; Viridiplantae; Streptophyta; Magnoliopsida; Alismatales; Zosteraceae.